UAACGAAUCUUCCGCAAUGCGCGAAAGCGUGACGGGGCAAUGCCGCGUGCAGGAUGAAGCCCUUCGGGGUGUAAACUGCUGUCAGGGUUCAGGAACACAAUGACCAGACCCAAAGGAAGAGCCGGCUAACUCUGUGCCAGCAGCCGCGGUAAUACAGAGGGCUCGAGCGUUAAUCGGAAUCACUGGGCUUAAAGCGUGCGUAGGCGGAUGCAAAGGCACCUUGUGAAAUCCCACGGCUCAACCGUGGAAUUGCUUGGUGAACCAUGCAUCUUGAGGCAGGUAGGGGUGGCUGGAACGAUAGGUGGAGCGGUGAAAUGCGUAGAUAUCUAUCGGAACGCCUAAGGAGAAGUCAGGCCACUGGGCCUGUCCUGACGCUGAGGCACGAAAGCGUGGGGAGCAAACGGGAUUAGAUACCCGCGUAGUCC
RNAcentral lists this ribosomal RNA (425 nucleotides) under uncultured bacterium. Its description in RNAcentral is "bacterial SSU rRNA". It matches the Rfam family "Bacterial small subunit ribosomal RNA", at positions 355 to 796 of the family's 1533-position model. The record is from RNAcentral.